Molecule: ribosomal RNA, 373 nt
Filed under: uncultured eukaryote
Lineage: Eukaryota
Description: partial 18S ribosomal RNA
Rfam family: Eukaryotic small subunit ribosomal RNA
Source: RNAcentral
CAAUAGCGUAUAUUAAAGUUGUUGCAGUUAAAAAGCUCGUAGUUGAAUUUUUGCUUGCCGCCGAUGUCGGAACUUCCGUACGUUCGGCGGCGUGCAUCCUUGGGUGGAACCUGUGUGGCAUUAGGUUGUCGUGCAGGGGAUGCUCAUCGUUUACUGUGAAAAAAUUAGAGUGUUCAAAGCGGGCUUACGCCGUUGAAUAUAUUAGCAUGGAAUAAUAAGAUAGGACCUUGGUACUAUUUUGUUGGUUUGCACACCGAGGUAAUGAUUAACAGGGACAGUUGGGGGUAUUCGUAUUCCAUUGUCAGAGGUGAAAUUCUUGGAUUUCUGGAAGACGAACUACUGCGAAAGCAUUUACCAAGGAUGUUUUCAUUAA